AGGGCACCACCAGGAGUGGAGCCUGCGGCUUAAUUUGACUCAACACGGGAAAACUCACCCGGCCCGGACACUGGAAGGAUUGACAGAUUGAGAGCUCUUUCUUGAUUCAGUGGGUGGUGGUGCAUGGCCGUUCUUAGUUGGUGGAGUGAUUUGUCUGGUUAGUUCCGAUAACGAACGAGACUCUAGCCUAUUAAAUAGAUCGUUGGCUUACAAACGCCGGCGAGACUUCUUAGAGGGACAGGCGGCGAUUCAGCCGCACGAAACAGAGCAAUAACAGGUCUGUGAUGCCCUUAGAUGUCCGGGGCCGCACGCGCGCUACACUGAAGUGAUCAGCGUGCAUUUUGAAACCUACUCUGUCAAGAGUGGGGAACCCAAUGAACCUUCUUCGUGAUUGGGAUAGGGGAUUGUAAUUAUUCCCCUUGAACGAGGAAUUCCCAGUAAGCGCGAAUCAUAAGUUUGCGCUGAUUACGUCCCUGCCCUUUGUACACACCGCCCGUCGCUACUACCGAUUGAAUGUUU
This 519-nucleotide ribosomal RNA is filed under the name uncultured eukaryote. RNAcentral's name for it is "SSU rRNA". It matches the Rfam family "Eukaryotic small subunit ribosomal RNA", at positions 1161 to 1698 of the family's 1831-position model. The record is from RNAcentral.